This 497-nucleotide ribosomal RNA is filed under the name uncultured bacterium. RNAcentral describes it as "partial 16S ribosomal RNA". It matches the Rfam family "Bacterial small subunit ribosomal RNA", at positions 28 to 507 of the family's 1533-position model. The record is from RNAcentral.
GAUGAACGCUGGCGGCGUGCCUAAUACAUGCAAGUCGAGCGAACAGACGAGGAGCUUGCUCCUCUGACGUUAGCGGCGGACGGGUGAGUAACACGUGGAUAACCUACCUAUAAGACUGGGAUAACUUCGGGAAACCGGAGCUAAUACCGGAUAAUAUAUUGAACCGCAUGGUUCAAUAGUGAAAGACGGUUUUGCUGUCACUUAUAGAUGUAUCCGCGCCGCAUUAGCUAGUUGGUAAGGUAACGGCUUACCAAGGCAACGAUGCGUAGCCGACCUGAGAGGGUGAUCGGACACACUGGAACUGAGACACGGUCCAGACUCCUACGGGAGGCAGCAGAAGGGAAUCUUCCGCAAUGGGAGAAAGCCUGACGGAGCAACGCCGCGUGAGUGAUGAAGGUCUUCGGAUCGUAAAACUCUGUUAUGAGGGAAGAACAAAUGUGUAAGUAACUAUGCACGUCUUGACGGUACCUAAUCAGAAAGCCACGGCUAACUACGUG